Molecule: long non-coding RNA, 9523 nt
Filed under: Setaria italica (foxtail millet)
Lineage: Eukaryota; Viridiplantae; Streptophyta; Magnoliopsida; Poales; Poaceae
Description: long non-coding RNA (SITA_LNC005442)
Source: RNAcentral
UGGACUGGAAAGGCUCCGUACUGAUGAUUACUCUUUCCUCACCACAUCAUUCUGGAAGUGCCUCACCUCCCUCCGAUGCCUAGAGUUACGCCAUCCUAUGGGGGAAGUGACGGGACUAACGGAGGAGCAAGAGAGAGCGCUUCAGCACCUCACGUCCCUGCAGGAGCUACGAUUUGAGAAUUGCUCCAACCUCGCAGGUCUUCCUGUGGGUCUGCACAGGCUUUCCUCCCUCAAGAGGUUGGAGAUCAUUGAUUGCCCGUUUCUCUCAAGGCUGCCAGAAAAGGGGCUCCCACCUUCGCUUGAAGAAAUUGAGAUCAGCUCUGGUUGCAGCAAGGAGCUAACUGAUGAAUGCAGAAUGCUAGCAACAACAAGAAGCAAGCCAAAGGUCAAAUUGGUGGGGAAUAUGUUAACUGAUUACUGGGUGGUUGUUAAGCAGACUUGUCUACCAGCAAAGCGGGUUUCACUCUGUUGCCUUCUGAGGUAUAUGCCUCUACCGUCAAUCAUGUUAUUAUCAGAUGUUACAUCCCUCGGUGUCAUGUGAAAAUAAGCUGUCCCAUUGCUGCUUUGCAGGCAUUCAAGCUGCUGUACGUUCCAGUGUUCCACUACUAAAUCUCAUAAACUACGUGCUGUUCAACAAAGCAUCCACACAUCCCUGUUUCUUGCAGAUCACCCAUUGCAGGGCUCAUGUUUGCCAGACGGGAGGCCCAACGCCCAAGGUGUGCUUCUUUUUACUCAUAACCAUCAAAAAUAGAAUUGUUUCGCUUCUCGAACCUCGUCGUCACUGGCCAUAAGCUGCCGAAUGUUAAUAGUUUUGCUGUCAUGUGAACUGAAAACAGUCUGUUUUGUACUUCUAUUCUAUGCUAUUCAUCUCAUCUUGCAAUCUGAAAGCCUUUGUUGCAAACUAAUUUAUCAGCAAUUUCAACAGUGCGUCAGAAAUUUCAAGCGAGCCAUUGGUAAGAUCAUCAUGGGACUUUCCAUUCCGCCUCUGAUUGUCGUUGCCAGCCUUGGAGGUUUUUCUUCUGCUGCCCCGAAGUAGCAGUUGCUUCAGACAGUGGAUCUGUCAAUGUACGUAUGUAGUACUGCAUGGAUUACUAUCUUGGUUUAGAGCACUAGUUUCCAGUGCUGGGUGUCAAUUCCGUGUAUUUCAAUCACGAGACCAGUGUUGUCAGUUGGGGCUCUCCAUGUGAGGGUGUCCCUCGGCAUUGCAACAUAAGCUCCUAUUAAUUAGAAGCACUACUAGUUGAAUGAAAUCCUCAGUCUAGCAGUGCUUCCUAUAUUUUCAGCCUGUUUAUCCACUUGGCCAAAUUGAAUGAAUUCCUAUGGAUCCCGGAUUAACAUUAUUAGUGUUAAUUCAGGAAGGCCACUCAACAUGAGCAGCAGAAUUGCACACAAGAUUACAAUACUGGAUAGUGCAGUCAUGGAGAGGCCAUAUUUUCAUGGUCAAUAUGCUUGGAAAUACAAUGAAGUGCCACAAAAACUGCUCACUGGAUGGACAGGUUAGAUAUACAGAAAGUCUACAUUAUUUGGAAAGAUGACAGGCAUGUUGCCUUCUCAGGUUGAUAUAAUGUAAUGUUUCCUUUUUCUCAAAGAAAAAAAAGUCAAAUUCUACUUGGACAUGCUGUAAACAUCAAUUAAGUAGUAACAACCAUAGGCACGAUAUCUGCAUUAGUAUACUUACACGUGAGAUCAAUUGUCCCCCAGUCAAAGGCCUGCAUGCUGUCUCCUCUACCUUCAGCGCCGUCCAUUGAGGAUUCAAUCCAAAAUCACAUUGAGAAGCCGCUGCAGAUAGUUGUACCUGAGAUUCAGAUGUCAAGGAAGGAGUUGCUGGGAUCAGGACACACUGGAAUCAACACAUCGUCAUUGUUUCUUUCACGAAGACGACGACUCACCCGUGGCCUGUGGAGGUCGCCUGGGCAAGGAGCCACCAGUAGUUACCACCAGAAUGGAAUCCUUAGAAGGUGGAGGUGUGAUUGAUUUGAUUAUGUACGUAGUUUAUGUAGGGAAUUUCAUGGACUUUUAGCUAGGGUUUUGAAUUUAGGGGGAAAAUAAAUAGGAGGAUUCAAGGUCGCCGGUGGAAAACAUCACAAAAUGCAAGCAACACUAACGAAUGAGCUGGAUGAGAAUGAAACUAAGACAAGAGAGGAGCACAGGGAGGAGCGUACCUUGCUGGGAGCUGAGCAGAGCAAGAUGACGAUGAGUUCGACCUAUGCGAGACCUUGCACCGCCGCCACCCUGGUCUUCGCGCUUCCCCACGGCCACUCCUCAUCUAUGCCGCCACCGCCUCCUGCUCAGCCACAGCCGCCGCCGCCGCCCCGGAUGAGAGAGGCGCGGGCUGGCUGCAAGCCGUAAGAACGCGACGGAGGUGCGAGGCUGCGGCGGGUGGCGUGGAUGAGGCACCCCAAAACCUAAUCGCCCGACGGCGAGGAGAAUCGGAGAGGGAGAGGAGGGAGAGGAUGUUGCGGCGGCGGCGUGGCAUCGGGAGUGAGCGGAGGGUGGAAGGAGAGGAGAAGAGAGGAGAGGAAGGGGAACGCGGCGGCGGCGACGAGCGGCGUGGGCGCGGCGGGCGUCGGGAGGAUGAGAGAGCGAGGGAGAGGAAGUUAGUUGGCCAUUUGGCCCGUGGCCCGUGGGCCGGCCCACGGCACGGCAUUUUGGCCCGAUCCAAGCCCGGCCUACACCAUGGGCCGGACCUGGGCUGCUGCCUCAGCUCGUAUGCUGGCCCGGCACGGUCUGGCCCAUUUGGCCCGUGAACCAGUAACGGGCUAGCACGGCCUGUUUAGGCCUGGUAGGUCUAUUUCGGCCCAGCUAAGAGGCAGCAAUAAAACCUACGGCUUCCCCCGCUUCCUCCGCUCCCCAGGCUCCCAACUGCCUCCCUAAGCUCCCUCCUCGACUCCUCCACUUCCCAGCCGCCUCCGGCCUCCCCAGCUCCCCCACUUCCUUCCCCUCCACUCCCCAGCCACUCCGGCCUCCGCCUCCUCCCGCGCGAUCGCGCCCCUCCACCGCCGGUCCCGACCGCUUCCCCUGCGCCCCUCCGCCGCCUCCUCCUGUGGCCUCCUCGGCCGCCUCCCCGGCCGCCUUCCCGCGCCCCUGUGCCGCCUCCUCUCGUGGCCCUCCGUCGUCGUCGGGAAUGGUGCCCCUCAACCGCCUCCUCCUGUGGCCUUCCGCCACCGCCCCCCGACCGCUGGGAACCGCACCCCUCCACCGCCUCCUCGUGUGGGCCUCCGCCGCCGCCUCCCUGUCCGCCGGGAACGGCGCCCCUCCGCCGCCUCCUCCCGUGGUCUUCCGCCGCCGCACCCCGGCCGCUGGGAACCGCACCCCCUCUACCACCUCCUCGCGUGGCCCUCCGUCGCCGCCUCCCCGGCCGUCAGGAAUCGGGCCCCUCCGCCUCCUCCUCUCGUGGCCUUCCGCCGCCGCCCCCCAGCCGCUGGGAACUGCACCCCUCCACCGCCUCCUCGCGUGGCCCUCCGCCGCCGCCUCCCUGGCCGUCAGGAAUCGCGCCCCUCCGCCUCCUCCUCUCGUGGCCUUCCCCCGCCGCCCCCCAGCCGCUGGGAACCGCACCCCUCCACCGCCUCCUCGCGUGGGCCUCCACCGCCGCCUCCUCGUCCGCCGGGAACGGCGCCCCUCCGCCGCCUCCUCGCGUGGCCCUCCGCCGCCGCCUCCCCGGCCGUCAGGAAUCGCGCCCCUCCGCCUCCUCCUCUCGUGGCCUUCAGCCGCCGCCUCCCCAGCCGCCGGGAACCACGCCCCUCCGCCGCCUCCUCGCGUGGCCCUCCGCCGCCGCCUCCCCGGCCGUCAGGAAUCGCGCCCCUCCGCCUCCUCCUCUCGUGGCCUUCAGCCGCCGCCUCCCCAGCCGCCGGGAACCACGCCCCUCUGGUGGUGGCCUCACCGAUUUGGGGUUUGGUGGUGAUUUUGGUGGCGAUUUUGGCAUGAUUUGGUGGUGGAUUUGGGGGAAAUUUGAGGGAAAUGCAGGCUGCGGUAGUGCGGUGGGGAUUGAGGAAAAGGAGGACCCGGAGCCGUGUCGUGGGCCGGCACGAGAAUGGCCAAGCUGCUAUGGCCUGCCGGGCCAGCGGGCCGACACGGCCUGCCUAAGAAGGCAGCAGGUCGGGCCUGGGCCGCUCCUUCAGCAUGUGGGCCGGCCUGGUCUAGCACGGCCGGUCCUAAUCGGGCUCGUGCCAGGCCAGGCUGGGCCGCCCGUUUGGCCAUCUCCCUGAACCCGAAACGGAUUACAGAAAACUCAAAGGGUUUUUUGCAAAAUGUCACGCGCCCGUGGACCCCCGGAAUAAGGGGUCUUCAUUGUUACUGCUCCGCCUCGGCCUAUCCUCCCUACUUCAUUGCUAUUGCUUCCUGCAUUGACUACAACUCAAGCACACUGCCUCUGCCGGAUCUGAAUCUGAUGGAGGCCGUAGAGGACGCGUUUCUGGAGGGCGCGAGCCUCUGGCUGGCGCAAACCAUCCUGCAGAGCCUCUUCACCGGUAAGCUCGAUGAAUGGAUUCGUCAAGUUGGGCUCGCCGACGACGCCGAGAAGCUCAAGUCCGAGGUCGAGCGGGCCGAGGCGGUGGCUGCUGCUGUGAAGGGGAGAACGAUCGGGAACAGGGCGCUGGCCCGAUCGCUCGCUCGUCUCAGGGAGGUGCUCUACGACGCCGACGACGUGGUCGACGAGCUUGACUACUACAGGCUCCAGCACCAGGUCGAAGGAGGUGCGUACAAAUCGAUCCCUGUGAUAAUAGCUAAUAAACACGCCUUGCACACCAUGGUAUGAACUUCCCUUUUUCUUGGUCAGUUACGCUUCAUAGCGCUAUUGAGCAGGAAGGCAUGGGUGGAGAUGGAGAACAGCAGGUUGAUGCAGCGAGGGACAGCGUUGCUAUGCUGCCAAGUAGCAGCGAUCGGAAGAAACGGUCCAAGGCAUGGGAAGAGUUUCGCGUUAAAGAAUCAGCUGACGGGAAGCCUGUGAAAGCAGAGUGUAUUCACUGUGGCACACUGGUUAGAUGCGAGACUACCAAAGGGACAUCGGUCUUGCACAAUCAUCUCAAGAGUGAGAGUUGCAAGAGAAAACGCGCAGCAAUUGAACAAACGCCAGACCCUCCAAGGUACGUACUAUUUAGCUUGAGGAUCCAUGCAGAAUAAUAUUGGCGUACUUUUGUCAGUAACAAAUUAUUAUUAUUAUUUGUGGACAAAAUUUGCAGUGUUUUAUUCUGAAAACCAGCACCGAAAACAGGCCCUUUUAGGAUAUGCAUAGAAAUGUAUUUAAAGUAAUAAAAUGAAAUUCGCAUUAUAUAUCUCUAACGACCAGCUUAUGAUUCUUUUUCCUCCUAUAGUGCCGGCGAUGGUGCACAAAACGGUGCCACCGUUUCAACUCAUAAUUCAGAUAUCAGAAAAAGAAUGAGAAUUGUUGAGGUGUCAGCACACAACACGGCAGCUAAGACACACGCCUGGACCAAGGCCGAAUUCUGCAAUAAAAUCCAACAAACGACUUAUCAGUUACGGAAAGCUACCAAUGAGAUUCAGAUGCUAUCUGUAUCGGGCUCUGUUGCAUAUUCGAAUCUCUGUGGGAAUACAACUGCAGAUCCAUGCCGAAGAACGUCAAGUGUUGUUCAGUGCAAAAUGUACGGGAGAGUUGAUGAGAAGAAUUCCAUCAUAAAGUCUAUGACAGAAGUCAAGUUUGACGAUGUAAUUAUUAUUCCAAUUGUAGGCAUGGGCGGAAUUGGGAAGACGGCUCUUUCUCAACUCGUAUACAAUGAUCCAAUUGUGAAAAGCCAAUUUGAUCACAGAAUGUGGAUUUGGGUGUCUAGCAAGUUUGACGAAGUGAGACUUACAAUGGAGAUGUUAGACUUUGUUUCUCAAGAGAAGUGUGUAGGAAUACGGAGCUUGGCUAAACUUCAGGAGAUCUUGGUGACCCAUGUCACAUCAAACAGGACUCUAGUUGUUUUGGAUGAUGUAUGGGAUGACAUCGAUGAUUGCCGAUGGAAUAAACUGUUGGCUCCUUUGAGGUCUGACAAUGCGAAGGGUAAUGUGAUUAUUAUGACAACUAGAAAAUUGUCUAUUGCAAAAAGGAUAUGCACAGUCGAACCGGUCAAGUUAGGUCAUUUGCAAAAUGAUGACUUCUGGUUAUUGUUUAAAACAUGUGCAUUUGGUGAUGAAAAUUACAAAGAGCACCCAAGUCUAACCAUCAUGGGUCAGCAGAUAGCAAAGAAUUUACAUGGUAACCCACAAGCAGCACAAACUGCAGGGAUGCUGUUAAGAGAGCAUCUUACAACUGACCACUGGAGUCACAUUCUAAAGAAUGAAAAAUGGAAAUCCCUGCAACUAAAUGGAGGCAUCAUGCAUGCUUUGAAACUUAGCUAUGAUGAGCUGCCCUUCUAUUUACAACAAUGCUUCUUGUAUUGUUCUAUAUUCCCCAAUGAUCAUCAGUUUAUUAGCAGUGAGCUGAUCUAUAUUUGGAUCGCACAAGGAUUUGUGAAAUGUAGCUGUUCGACUGAGAGAUUGGAGGAGAUGGGACAGAGGUAUCUCACUGAUUUGCUGAACUUUGGAUUUUUUGAGCAAGUUGAAACUAAAGAUCCCACUCUAGGCGAUAAAAUAUUAUAUGUUAUGCCUGCUCUUAUGCAUGACUUUGCAAGGCUGGUUUCAGGAAAUGAAUGUGCAGCUAUAGAUGAUCUGACGUGCAGAGAAAUACUCCCAACUAUACGUCACUUGUCAAUUCUAACUUAUUCUGCGUACCAGGAAGAUAAAUAUGGGGACAUACUUCGUAAUGAGAAGUUUGAAGGAAAAUUGCAAAGAGUAGUUAAUUCAACGAGAAAAUUGAGGACUUUGCUCUUGAUUGGGAAGUAUGACUGCUUCUUCCUCCAAUGUUUACAAGGCCUAUUCCAGAAGGCGCAGAAUUUACGGGCACUGCUAUUUUCUGCAGCAUAUGCUGAUUUUUGUUAUUCAGAAUGCAAUUUGGUAAAUUCUACUCAUGUUCGAUAUCUAAAACUUAGGACCGAAGAGGACAAUGAACCUUUGCCUGAAGCUCUGAGCAAAUUCUACCACCUUCAAGUAUUAGAUAUAGGCUUGGAUAGAUACUCCACUGUACAUAACGGUAUGAAUAAUCUUAUCAGUCUACGGCAUCUUGUUGCAUCGAAGGAAGUGUUCUCUUCAAUUAGUAGAAUUGGCAAAAUGACCUCUCUUCAGGAACUGCAUGACUUUAAAGUUGAUAAUUGCACUAGUUUUGAGAUAGCACAGCUUCAUUCCAUGAGUGAACUCGCUCAGCUUGGUGUUUCCCAACUUGAAAAGGUGGUAACUAGAGAGGAGGCAUAUGGAGCAAACCUGCGAGGAAAAAGUCACUUAGAAAAGUUGCACUUGUCAUGGGAGUAUACAUCACAGCAUGAAUAUGACAUUAACAUUAUCUCAGAGCCUUCUUAUGAGGUAGGAGAGAUAGGGACAAGCAAAGUGGUGCUUGAGGGCCUUGAACCACAUCACAGCCUAAAGCAUCUUCAAAUUUCUGGGUAUCGCAGCGGUACCUCCCCAAAUUGGCUUGUUAGCACUGUCUCGGUUACCUGUUUGCAGACACUUCAUCUAGAGGAUUGUAGGGAAUUGGAAGUGCUUCCCUCAGUAGAAAAGCUUCCACUCCUUACAAAGCUGAAGUUAAGGAAUAUGUGGAAAGUAAGACAGGUAACAGUUCCUUCGUUGGAGGAGCUGGUGCUGAUUAAUAUGCCAAAGUUGGAGUGUUGUUCCUGCAAUUCCGUGAUGGACUUGAACUCCAGUUUAAGGGUCCUCAAGUUUGAGCAAUGUCAUGUUCUGAAGGUCUUUCCCCUCUUUGAGAGCUGGAAGAAAUUAAAAAUUGAGCGCAAGUCAUGGUUGUCCUGUGUUAAGGAACUUACCAUCUGUGAAUGUCCCCAUUUAAUGGUACCGAAUCCUCUACCACCUUCUAGUAAUGUUUGUAAACUACACAUCGCAAGAGUUUCAACACUCCCAACGAUGGAGGGAUCAUCCAGCGAAGAACUGGUAAUCGGAGGACACAAUUUGAGAGAAAACAAUGGGCUGACGGAGCUGGAUGACAGAAUUUUGUCAUUCCAUAAUUUGAGGGCCCUUAGCCGAUUGCGUAUUGCAGGCUGCCAAAAACUAUCUUCUAUUUCACUCGAAGGUUUCAGGCAACUCAUUAGCUUAAAGACUAUGGACAUAAGCUACUGCUUUAACCUUUUCUCUUCAGAUGUCCCACCACCACCAGAGCAUACCCAUGAAGACAUGACCGACAUAAAUUUCAAUGCCCUCCCAUCUCUCAAGCAUCUCAGAAUUGAAUUUUGUGGAAUAACUGGGAUGUGGGUAUCUGUGAUGCUGCGCCAUGCACCAGCCCUAGAGGAAUUGCGCUUGGAUGAUUGCGACCAGAUAUCAGGACUGUUGAUCGAAGUGGGAGAUAGUAGUUCAUCAAAUCACACCUCGGCUCCACGGGCUCCAUCAGCAGGAAACCCAGAUGACGCAUUGACAAGCUCAACUCCAGAUGGACUCCUGCGCAUCCCAUCAAAUUCCGUCUCCUCUCUCAAGAAAAUGUCUAUUCUGUGGUGCGGUGAGCUAACAUUUCAGGGGAACAAGGAUGGCUUCUCUGUAUUCACCUCCCUUGAGGAGCUAACAAUUCGUGGAUGCCCCAAACUGAUCCCGUCUUUGGUGCAGACAUAUGAAAACAACGACCAGCGAAACGGAAGAUGGCUUCUCCCGUAUUCACUUGGCAAACUUGAGAUUGACGGUUCCCCUGAAACGCUGCAGCCCUGCUUCCUAGAAGAUCACAACUGCCUCGAAAAGUUAGAAAUAAAAGAAAGCCCAAGUUUAAAAUUGCUACAGUUGCAUUCCUGCACGGCACUGGAAGAGUUGGCGGUUCAUGAUUGUGAAUCGCUCCCCGCACUAGAGGGGAAUUUCACCUGCCUCAAGAGAUUAGAGCUGUCGUACAACUCAGGGUUGGAAUCGCUACAGCUGCGUUCCUGCACAACGCUGGAAGAGUUGACGGUUGAGUCUUGUGAAUCGCUCGCCACAUUAGAGGGGAAUUUCACCUGCCUCCAAAAAUUAGAUCUGUUUGACAACCCAAGGCUAAAAUCACUACAGCUGCGUUCCUGCACAGCGCUGGAAGAGUUGACGGUUCGGUCUUGUGAAUCGCUCGCUGCACUAGAGGACUUUUGGUCCCUCAGAUGUCUCAGGUAUUUGGUAAUAUCCAAAUGCCCUGGCUUACUUCCUUAUCUGGAACAUCUGUCAAGUGAGGGCUAUGAGCUGUGCGCUGGACUGGAAAGGCUCGACACUGAUUAUUACUCUUUCCUCACCACGUCAUUCUGCAAGUGCCUCACCUCCCUCCGACGCCUAGAGUUACACGAUCCUACGGGGGAAGUGACGGGACUAACGGAGGAGCAAGAGAGAGCGCUUCCGCACCUCACGUCCCUGCAGGAGCUACGAUUUGAGGAUUGCUCCAACCUCGCAGGUCUUCCUGUGGGUCUGCACAGCCUUUCCUCCCUCAAGAGGUUGGAGAUCAAUUAUUGCCCGUUUCUCUCAAGGCUGCCAGAAAAGGGGCUCCCAC